Nelumbo nucifera (sacred lotus) is the source of this 1694-nucleotide long non-coding RNA. RefSeq lists it as uncharacterized. The record is from RefSeq and is a predicted model, not a curated record. NCBI's taxonomy places the organism in Eukaryota, Viridiplantae, Streptophyta, Magnoliopsida, Proteales, Nelumbonaceae.
CCAAAGGAAUGCGAUUCCCAUUCCGGUUUAUGGUUGAUUUUUUUUUUGUUUUUUACAAAAAUACCCCCUUCAUUUCCAACCCUAGUCAAACAGAGAGCCAUCGCCGACAGAGACUGCAAGCAAUGUAGAACUCCAAACCAUCUGCCGUCGCCGAAACAACCUCUGGCGAGGUAAGGUAGGAGCGCUGCUGAAUCAUUCUCCUCCUCGUCCUCCUCCUCCUUCCAAAUCAACCGCCCAUGCUCUGGUGUGGGAUCUAAUUGCUUCGGUUUCAUAUGUAAUCCAAUCUUCACAGAAGACGAAUCAUUUUCAACAAAGGUUUCCUUUUUGCUAUAUAUUCUUGAAUGGUUAGGAAGCAUAACCAAAUGGUCAAAAAUCGAUGGACAUGAUGAAUGUGCUGAUGUUGGGAGUCUCCAAAAGAGUGGACACUUGAGAAAAGGAUACAUUCCUUACUUGUACGGCAAUGAUGGAAUCGUAGACAAGCUUUUCUCUGUUAUUGCUUGAGCAGGUUUUGCCAGUGAACCCAUUUUCUAGACCUAAUAAGCUGAAGGUAAACUGAGUUGAUAAGCUUUGUCUUACUUAAUGGCUUGACAUGGGGAAUAAAAUGGUGGUUAUUUGGUUGAGUAAUGAGAGUAUCUAUGAAAUUUAUGACUUGUACAAGUUACUGAAUUUACCUGCCUGGUUCAAGUUUCUAAAAGUUAUUUCGUGUACUACAAACAUUAGCCUUACUCUCCCAUGACAUUACCAGAUUAUAAUUAUGGCUUCCCAAGUUGAUUUACUGCAAAUAUUUUAACUGGUAAAUAUGUAGAUAUUUCAUGUCAACAACACUUGUUACUUUUGAACAGCUUCUACUUCAUGAACAUGUUUCUAGGAUUUACUUGUUGGUUCUAAAACAGCUCUACAUGAUAGAUAAAACUGUAGAAAUCUCAUAUUAGUUCUAAACAACUUUCCUAUUUUGAAUUUGGUUAGGAAUAUAUUUACUUGCCUUUUGUUAUUUCCUAUUUUGAAUUUAGAAGAUCAUAGAAGAAAUGUUGUUUCUUUUGUAUCUUAAAAUCAAUAUUCUUUUGUAAUAACUAAUAAGCACAUUCAACACUAUGAAUCUGUAAAUAAGGUUGAAACUUUUGUAAUGGAAUUAAUAAUGAAAUACAUUUACAUGCAGCUUUUAUUAAUUAUGAAUGUUGAAAGAAUACUAUGUACAAAAGUGAUAAUCCUCAUGUUAGGUUGUCUCCUAGCACAGAACCCCUUGCUUACUCUUCAUAAACACCUGCAAAAUUUCAGGGGCAAAAUUGGAAAUCAUGGCUGACUGCGAUUCCAGCCUCUUAAUGAACCAAACAGCAUAAAUCGGAAUCCGAUUCCGUUUCCGGUCAGAACCAAACAUCCAGGCGAAAUAGGCCAUUCCAAUUUCGAUUCUGAUCGUGAACCAAACGUGGCCCAUAGUUUUUUUUUUCGCUUAUGCUGUUGUUAGGGGAUUGUUUCGGUGGUAUUAGGUCUAGUUUCGGUGUAGCUUGAUGUCUGUGUUGUCGCGUGAGUCUCUGUUGUAGUAGCUUUUCUCUUUGCCCUUUGAAUUGAAAAUCUUUCUGAGAAAAAUAAAAACGAGUGAGACCACAAUAUGAUGAUGCAGCAUAGUAGGACUCGUGAGUAGCAUAUAACACGAUGAAUACAAGUUUGGAAUAAAUAUGAUAGACACCAUUGUUGCA